AAAAUUCUAAACAGCAAAACAACUAACAAGCUGCUCCUCGUCUCAACCGCACAAACCACAGACUCCAUUCAAAUCCAUCUCUCUCUCAUCAGAAUUCGAUCCCGCAGAAACCGUAGGAGCGGGGACUUUGAGCACCUCUCUUUUCCUUCUGAAAUUUCAAAAAUCUCCCCUAAUUUCAGCUAUUUUUUGCAUUUGUUUAAUUUGCCUCGCGUACCUGCGUAGCCAACUUAGAUAUCUGGUUCCGAUUGAAUGUGAUAGAAUUCUGUGAAUUUGAUGUGCCGACUGGAAUGUGAUAAAAUUCUGCGUUGAAUUUUUUUUUAAGAAUCUCGAUGCCCAAAUUAUGUUUGCAGAAAGUCCUGGCUCAAAUUAUGUUGGCCAAUUUGUAGCAUUCUUAACCUCCCCUCCCCCUCUCCCACACCCCAAAAAAAACAAAGAUUUAUAUGUGAACUCUCUAUCUUUCUGACUAGUUUCUCUCAUUAAUUUCUUGUUUAAAACUUUAUUUUGGUAAGGGUUAAUAGCUCAUCAAGAGUAAAUUGGUAGGGGUUAGGUGGGGGGAG
This 557-nucleotide long non-coding RNA is filed under the name Coffea arabica (coffee). RNAcentral's name for it is "long non-coding RNA (CARA_LNC005000)". Lineage: Eukaryota; Viridiplantae; Streptophyta; Magnoliopsida; Gentianales; Rubiaceae. The record is from RNAcentral.